This is a non-coding RNA of Caenorhabditis elegans, 90 nucleotides long. The record is from Ensembl. NCBI's taxonomy places the organism in Eukaryota, Metazoa, Nematoda, Chromadorea, Rhabditida, Rhabditidae.
UACACCCUUUCUAUUUUCACAUUACCCCCUGAAAAUAACAAAGUUAGGUUUUUAGCCGAUUUUCUGAACAAUUAUUUGUUUUUCGCAAUU